Long non-coding RNA from Perca flavescens (yellow perch), 333 nucleotides. RefSeq lists it as uncharacterized. Lineage: Eukaryota; Metazoa; Chordata; Actinopteri; Perciformes; Percidae. The transcript is spliced from 3 exons. The record is from RefSeq and is a predicted model, not a curated record.
UAACAUGGUUGUAAGAUGCAGAAAACAUGACACUAUUCUUAUAAUAAUUUCAUGUAUGAAAAGUAUUGACUUUUUUUUUUUUUUUUUUGCAGGUCUGCCCAAUCUGUCUUGCAUCGUACCCAGCUGAUGUUCUCCCAUCUCAUGCAAACACAUGUGGUGACAGAAUGAACUGUGCUCAACCCAGCGUAGCAGCCAGUCCCCCAAGGGGAGAAGAAUUGCCAGGACCCUCAGUUCCACAAUCGUCAGUUCAACAAUCGUCAGCAGCUUCAACCUGGGCCACUGAAGUCGACCCCCAAAAAACAUGCCAGUUGUUCAGAGAAGAUUUACUGAACU